GAUGAACGCUAGCUACAGGCUUAACACAUGCAAGUCGAGGGGAAACGACAUCGAAAGCUUGCUAAAUUUGAUGGCGACCGGCGCAUGGGUGAGUAACGCGUAUCCAACCUUCCCCUGUCCACGGGAUAGCCCGUCGAAAGGCGGAUUAAUACCGUAUGAGGUCACACGAUGGCAUCAGACUGUGACGAAAGGUUUGGCGGACAGGGAUGGGGAUGCGUCCGAUUAGCUUGUUGGCGGGGUAACGGCCCACCAAGGCAACGAUCGGUAGGGGUUCUGAGAGGAAGGUCCCCCACAUUGGAACUGAGACACGGUCCAAACUCCUACGGGAGGCAGCAGUGAGGAAUAUUGGUCAAUGGGCGAGAGCCUGAACCAGCCAAGUAGCGUGCAGGACGACGGCCCUAUGGGUUGUAAACUGCUUUUAUAAGGGAAUAAAGUGAGUCUCGUGAGACUUUUUGCAUGUACCUUAUGAAUAAGGACCGGCUAAUUCCGUG
Molecule: ribosomal RNA, 491 nt
Filed under: uncultured bacterium
Lineage: Bacteria
Description: bacterial SSU rRNA
Rfam family: Bacterial small subunit ribosomal RNA
Source: RNAcentral